Sapajus apella (tufted capuchin) is the source of this 1462-nucleotide long non-coding RNA. RefSeq lists it as uncharacterized. Lineage: Eukaryota; Metazoa; Chordata; Mammalia; Primates; Cebidae. The record is from RefSeq and is a predicted model, not a curated record. The transcript is spliced from 2 exons.
GGCAGGAUUACAGGUGUGAGCCACUGUGCCCAGCCAAAUACUAAGUUAAUUUUAAUAAGCCCCCCAAUACUGACAUAACACCUAAACUUAGCAAUUUACGGCCCAGUUAAGGUUUAGCUUUGUCUCGUUAAAAGAAAAACUCCAGCAGAAUUAAAUUUAAAGGAGUUUAAUUGAGCAAUGACCUUGCGAAGCUGGUAGCCCCCAGAAUCACAACAGAUUCAGAUAGACCCCAGCACAGCCACGUGGUGGAAGAAGAUUUAUAGACAAAGGGAAGCAACAUACCGAAAUCGGAAGUGAUGUUCAGAAACAACAGGACUGGGUAUAGCUCCGUGUUUGCCUUAUUUGAAUACAGUUUGAACACUGGGCAGUGUGUGAGUGGUGGAAACACGGCUGCUGGGAUUGGUCAAGACUCAGGGAUUGUUGCAGGCACAUACGUUUGAUUUUCAAUCUUGUCUACCUAUUACAUUAGGUUGCACUUCAUCUACAAGGACUCACAUAGAGAAGUACAAAGUCCUUCUCAGGUCGUAUGUAGUUUGCUUUAACAGUCUAGUCUCUUAAGCAUGCCUUGCAUUGUGUGUUAUUAAUUUGCUUUAAUUGUGUGGCCAAGGUGGCUGGUCAUCGUGAGUCUGAUGAGGAGGAGUUCUACCCAUUUAACAGUUAGUGAGGCUCAGAAACUCAUAAAGGUUUUUAUUUUUAUUUUUAACAGCUUGCCUAAAAAUCAUAUGACUUUGACUUAGGCAGCAUUUAAACCCAGAUCUAUUUGGCUCCAAAGCCUUCACCAUGAUCUAGGUCUGAGUAUUUGUGGUCCCCCCAAAAUUUUAUGUUGGAUCCUAAUCCCCAGGGUGACAGUAUUAGGCGGCGGGGUGUCUGGGAGGUGAUUAGGGCUUAAGGCAGAGUCCUCAUUAAUGAGAUUAGUGCCCUUAUAAAAGAGGCCCCAGUGAGCUCCCUGAACCUUUUAUUAUGUGAGAACACAGCUUGAAGGUGCCUCCCUGAGCCUGAAGGUGACCCUCACCAGACACUGAAUCUGCCCCACUUUGGUCUUGGACUUCUCAACCUCCAGAACUGUGAGAAAUUUCUGUUAUUUCAAAGGUACCUGGUUUGUGGUAUUUGGUGACAGCAGCACAAGUGGACAAAGGCAGCCUUUCCUUAUUUCAGCUCACUAUGAGAUCUCUUUAACAAAGAACCAACCCUGCUUCCCCCCCCGCUGUCAGUACUGCAAAGGAUCUUCUGAGGUUCUGCUGUGUAACACAGCAGCCACGAGCCACAUGUGGUCUAUUGAACUCUGCAAAUGUAUCUAGCUGGCAUUGAGAUAUGCUGUAAAAGCUUCCCAGGAUUUCAAAACCUUGCUAAGAAAAAGAGAAUGUAAAAUAUCUCAUUCAUAACGUUUUUAUAUUGAUUAUGUGUUGAAGUGAUAAUACUAUGGCUUUUUGGGGCAAAGUAAAACAUGAAUUUCAGUUCAUUA